Molecule: long non-coding RNA, 1288 nt
Filed under: Echeneis naucrates (live sharksucker)
Lineage: Eukaryota; Metazoa; Chordata; Actinopteri; Carangiformes; Echeneidae
Description: lncRNA (ENSENLG00000022741.1)
Source: RNAcentral
AGCCAUCCGGAAGUGGGCGUAGUUGGUACAAACUCAAAGACGGCCCAGGAUCAGCGCUGCCGCUCUGUGCGUGAGAACACGGGGUCAAGGCGUGACGCAAACAUAAACUGCGCUGCGCAUGACGCCACUUUAACGUCACCACACACCUGCCCCGGGAUGAUGUCAUCAAAAGGGGACUCACCGUUAACGGAACAGCUGCUCUUUAACGGCGGAGAUUCUGCAGCUCACUUCCACCGCCUUCUUCUUCUGCUGUUAUUAGACGGACCACAUCAGAUCGAGGGGCACUGUACCACCGGCAGUCAUGGGAGCUUUCUGGAGAAUACUGGACACAUCCAAGCACUCAGCAGAGCAAUACGCCACCUGAACAGACAACCAGCAAUACUCAACUGCUACACAACUGCGCCCAAUGCACAAAAAAAAAAAACAAAACAAAACAAAACACACAAGCAGGAUUAGGAGUCCAGGGAGAUGAGUGCAUCAUGGGUAACCCUUGGACACACACUGACAGACACUCCGAGCUGCAGCAGAGCAGACAUACGGAAAAAGUAAAUGUAGAAAAUGUAAAUAAAAACAACUGAUCUGAAGGUUUAUGUCACUUUGGUUGUGACUUCAUCACUAAGUGAGAUGAGUGACAGCAGUCUUUCAAACAAAUUACAGCAUCUGUGACAUCACAACUAAAAGAAGCCAAUAUAAGAAUCCAACAUGUAAACUGGAUCUAUGGAGUCAGACUGAAGGCCUGAAGACAUCACCUUGGCCAACAUUAUUAAAAAAAAAAAAAAAAAUCUGAAACAUACACUCAGAUUAAUAUGUGACUGAUUUCCCAGAGACAAAAUAACCUGAAUAUACAACAUUAGUUUUGGGUUCACAAGGCUCAGGGGUUUAACGAAAAGUAAUCACAGCAACGAGGACUGUCUCAUCUUCCUUUUUUCCUUAUUGUCUAUCUUCUGCAUGAACAAAAACUACAGUUUUAUCUUAGUUCCUUUUUUGCGGUGCCAGUUAUGAUUCAAGUUCUCAGGUUGAGGGAAGUCAGACACAGUAAGACCAGCAAAUCCCAAAAAAGGCAAACUAAACCCAUGUCGGCACAUUUUAAAACUUAAGUAGUGAACUCAUUUUAUUAAUUAGGGUAGAGAGAUGAGAGCACCUAGACCCUGCAGUUCACUGAACCCAUAUGAAAACAUCAUCUGAACCCCAGUCCUGGUCCACGUUAAAAAUACAGAACAAAGAUAAGAAUGAUUAAGCAUUAUAAAAAGGAAAUAAAAAUCACAGCACACAGUCAGAGGGAAAAAAA